GAUGAACGCUGGCGGCGUGCCUAAUACAUGCAAGUCGAGCGAACAGACGAGGAGCUUGCUCCUCUGACGUUAGCGGCGGACGGGUGAGUAACACGUGGAUAACCUACCUAUAAGACUGGGAUAACUUCGGGAAACCGGAGCUAAUACCGGAUAAUAUAUUGAACCGCAUGGUUCAAUAGUGAAAGACGGUUUUGCUGUCACUUAUAGAUGGAUCCGCGCCGCAUUAGCUAGUUGGUAAGGUAACGGCUUACCAAGGCGACGAUGCGUAGCCGACCUGAGAGGGUGAUCGGCCACACUGGAACUGAGACACGGUCCAGACUCCUACGGGAGGCAGCAGUAGGGAAUCUUCCGCAAUGGGCGAAAGCCUGACGGAGCGACGCCGCGUGAGUGAUGAAGGUCUUCGGAUCGUAAAACUCUGUUAUUAGGGAAGAACAAAUGUGUAAGUAACUAUGCACGUCUUGACGGUACCUAAUCAGAAAGCCACGGCUAACUACGUG
RNAcentral lists this ribosomal RNA (497 nucleotides) under uncultured bacterium. RNAcentral's name for it is "partial 16S ribosomal RNA". It matches the Rfam family "Bacterial small subunit ribosomal RNA", at positions 28 to 507 of the family's 1533-position model. The record is from RNAcentral.